AUGGUCCUUCCCCUCCCUUCUCCAGCCUCCUUACCUCCGACUUCUCACCUGAGCACUGCGGAGGAGGGAGAAGGGAGGAAGAAGGAGGAAAGAGGGAGGGUUAGGGGCGACUGGGGAGGUGGUUCCUGUAGCUCCGGCUCACUUGGUACGCGCCUGCCCCGCCCCUGCCCCGCCCCCGUCCCCAGCCUCUGCACUGAGCCUCUGCAGCAGGCAGGAAGUCCUGAACAGCCCGGCCUCGGGAACUGGGCGAGGGGUGGGUUCCUUGAGCCUAGAAAGCGAGGAACACCCAGCUGGAGCUCUCUGGAGCGUAGACCAUCCUCCUCAGGUUCAAGGUAUCAAGACACUAUUUGUGACCUUCCUCACCUCCUUCCCCAUUCCCUGAUGGCCUUGGACAUUUCCAGCAUCUUUACUUAAAGGUGUUUCUCAACAUAGUGAACCAAGAGAUGUCUCUUGAGGACUACAAUAAGAAGACUAAUGGAUGUCUCAAAUUGUUACAAGAACAAUUGAAAGAUCUUAUUUAAGCCAUAUGAAGAGUCUGAAAAUGAUCUGAAGGCCUUACAAAAUGUUGGGCGGAUUGUGGGUGAAUUGCUGAAACAAAUAAUGGAAGAAAAAUUCAUUGUUAAAGCAACAAAUGGACCAAGACAUGUUGUGAGUUGUUAGUAUCAUCUUGACAAAAGUAAUCUGAAGCCACGGACAAGAAUUGCUUUGAAUAUGACUACACUUACUCUCAUGAGAUAUUUGUAAAAAAAAAAAAAAAAAUAUAUAUAUAUAUAUAUAUAUAUAUAUAUAUAUAUAUAUCCACUGAUUUAUAACAUGUUUCUUAUCCUGAGAUUGGAGAGCUAUCUGAUAAAUCAGAGAAUUGAGAGAAUUAUCCCUUACAAACCUUGAGUUAUUCCAGUGUGCAAGAAAAAUAACUCCAAAAGGUUGUUUGCUAAGUGGACUACCAGGAACAAGAAAAAAACACUCUUGGCAAGAGCUGUUGCUAGCCAGCUGGAUUGCAAUUUUGUAAAGGUUAUAUCUAGUUCUAUUGUAGGCGAGUAUGUUGGUGAAAGUGCCUAUUUGAUCAGAUAAAUGUUCAAUUGUGCCAGGGAUCACUGGUUGUGCAUCAUUUUCAUGGACGAAAUAGAUGCUAAUGGUAGCUGUUGGUUUUCUAAGUGUACUUCAGCUGGUAGAGAAAUUCAGAGAACUCUAAUGGAGUCACUGAAUUGAUGGAUGGAUUUGAUCCUUUUCACAGAGCAACAGUGAUCAUGGUUACAAACAGACCAGACACAUUGGAUUCUGCUUUGUUCCAUCUAGGAAGAUCAGAUAGAAAAAUACAUAUUGAUUUACCAAAUGAACAAGCAACAUGAGACACAAUGAAGAUUCAUGCUAGUUCUAUCACAAAACAAGGUGAAAUAGAUUAUGAAACAAUUGUGAAGCUCUUAGAUGGCUUUAAUGGAGCAGAUCUGAGUAAUGUUUAUACUGGAGCAGGUAUGUUUACAAUUCAUGCUGAUCAUUAUUUUGUUGUAAGGAAGGUUUCAUGAAAGCAGUCAUAAAAUUGGCUGAUUCUAAGAAGUUGAAGUCUAAACUACACAAUCAACCUGACUGAGUUAUAAAACAUGAAAGUUGUUAUUGCAAUAUAAAAAUAAAGUUGAGGAUAAUAAUGUGUAUUGGAUAUGA
RNAcentral lists this long non-coding RNA (1659 nucleotides) under Phascolarctos cinereus (koala). Its description in RNAcentral is "lncRNA (ENSPCIG00000037277.1)". The record is from RNAcentral. Lineage: Eukaryota; Metazoa; Chordata; Mammalia; Diprotodontia; Phascolarctidae.